Molecule: long non-coding RNA, 1263 nt
Organism: Oxyura jamaicensis (ruddy duck)
Lineage: Eukaryota; Metazoa; Chordata; Aves; Anseriformes; Anatidae
Exons: 2
Source: RefSeq, a predicted model, not a curated record
CCAGGGAUGAUGGACAAUGGAAAGCCACUUCUGGGUCUGACUUGCUACAUGGUGCAACCAUGCAAUAGGUGUGUACUCAGGACAGACAGCUGGGCCAAAGUUCAUUGCUGCUUCAAACUCAAAGUGAACAUAUGGUCCUUGAACCACAACAAGUAGCACCAAAACAAACCUUGAUCCUUCCACCUUUGAGCGACACCAUAACAGAUGAACAUCCCCAAAUUCACCUCCAAGGUUGUCCCUUGAGGAGCACAGCUGAAGAAGCUCUGUGUUAGCAGCAUCUUCUGAAUUCUGCCAGGCUCUCUGAGAUGAGCUAAUUAAGCAUCUAUGAAGCAUGAUGAGAAGAGAGUUGAUACAUGAUGGCAGGGGAGGAGACAUUCACCAAAGGACCAUGAAAGUAGUAUGAAGACUUCUACUUCAGCCUCAAUUAGACUGUUUGUAUAAAGUAAAAUGAUUAAACAUCUGAGGGGAGAGAUAACAGGUAGAAAAACUGAUGCUCCUGGUCUUUUCAUUUAUCUGGUUACAAUGCUGCAUUGACACUAAGGCAGUGUGUGAUGAUGAAAGAGCCUUUUAGAAGUGUGCACCUAGUACCACUCUGUCUGUUCAGCUGCCAUGGAAAGGAAAAAUGGCAUUCCUGAUAUAUGAUUUCAUUUCAUUUUUUGAACAAAAUUAACUACUUGAAGAUUUGUUGUUUGGGAUGAUUUCUGAUUGAGACUCAACAGGAAACAUGAGAUGAAAUAGUAGUACUGUUCAUGCAUUGGUUUCAUCCCAUUCUCAUUGUAGGCAGGAGACGUCUCCAUUCUAGGAGGACUAUUCAUUUUCAAUGUCUCUAGCAGAAUUUGAAUCAGUUUUUGUUACCAACAAAUAGUUUUAAAAUUAAAACUAAAAGAAUUCUUGUUAAGACAUUUUUAGUGUGAAAAACUAAUGAUACAGUGUGAUUAUGCAAUACCUAUAUUUAUUCUCACAGUAUUUGUCAGAAAAAUGGUUCUUCCCAUGUUAUCAUUUUCAGUGACAGGUUCAUGUUGACACUGGUGCUGACUACAGGCAGUCAAAACUUCCUCAAUUUCUAGCAUACUUGAUUUGAUGCUGACAGGUUCAUGUGCAUUAGUUUCAGCAAUAUGUAAAAUUUAUAGUAAUAAAUAUCUAGGACUCUUUUUUUUUUUUUUUUUUUUUUUGCUAUUAAUUCUCAUUUCUCACAGAAAGGUUUGUUCUUUAAAAAAAUGUGUGCAUAAAUCAGAAAGGGAAAUCCUUAAGUAUGCCUUGGAA